RNAcentral lists this transfer RNA (57 nucleotides) under Loxodonta africana (African savanna elephant). It matches the Rfam family "tRNA", at positions 8 to 63 of the family's 71-position model. Rfam says of the family: Transfer RNA (tRNA) molecules are approximately 80 nucleotides in length. Their secondary structure includes four short double-helical elements and three loops (D, anti-codon, and T loops). Lineage: Eukaryota; Metazoa; Chordata; Mammalia; Proboscidea; Elephantidae. The record is from Rfam by way of RNAcentral.
UGGCACAAUGGUUAAGCAUUCGGCUGCUAACUGAAAGAAUGGUGGUUCAAAACCACC